UCCUACGGGACGCAGCAGUGAGGAAUAUUGGUCAAUGGCCGAGAGUCUGAACCAGCCAAGUCGCGUGAAGGAUGACGGCCCUAUGGGUUGUAAACUUCUUUUGUCGGGGGGCAAAGCGAGUCACGUGUAUCUCGUUGAAGGUACCGGAAGAAUAAGCAUCGGCUAACUCCGUGCCAGCAGCCGCGGUAAUACGGAGGAUGCGAGCGUUAUCCGGAUUUAUUGGGUUUAAAGGGUGCGCAGGCGGA
This 245-nucleotide ribosomal RNA is filed under the name uncultured bacterium. Its description in RNAcentral is "partial 16S ribosomal RNA". It matches the Rfam family "Bacterial small subunit ribosomal RNA", at positions 337 to 579 of the family's 1533-position model. The record is from RNAcentral.